AUUGAACGCUGGCGGCAGGCUUAACACAUGCAAGUCGAGCGGUAACAGAGAGAAGCUUGCUUCUCUGCUGACGAGCGGCGGACGGGUGAGUAAUGCCUAGGAAUCUGCCUAGUAGUGGGGGAUAACUUGCCGAAAGGUAAGCUAAUACCGCAUACGUCCUACGGGAGAAAGGAGGGGACCUUCGGGCCUUUCGCUAUUAGAUGAGCCUAGGUCGGAUCAGUUAGUUGGUGAGGUAAUGGCUCACCAAGACCGCGAUCCGUAACUGGUCUGAGAGGAUGAGCAGUCACACUGGAACUGAGACACGGUCCAGACUCCUACGGGAGGCAGCAGUGGGGAAUAUUGGACAAUGGGGGGAACCCUGAUCCAGCCAUGCCGCGUGUGUGAAGAAGGUCUUAGGAUUGUAAAGCACUUUAAGUUGGGAGGAAGAGCAGUUAACUAAUAUUUGACUGUUUUGACGUUACCGACGGAAUAAGCACCGGCUAACUUCGUGCCAGCCGCCGCAGUAA
Molecule: ribosomal RNA, 506 nt
Filed under: uncultured bacterium
Lineage: Bacteria
Description: partial 16S ribosomal RNA
Rfam family: Bacterial small subunit ribosomal RNA
Source: RNAcentral